RNAcentral lists this long non-coding RNA (2470 nucleotides) under Oryza brachyantha (malo sina). RNAcentral's name for it is "long non-coding RNA (OBRA_LNC000897)". The record is from RNAcentral. Lineage: Eukaryota; Viridiplantae; Streptophyta; Magnoliopsida; Poales; Poaceae.
UUCGCUCGAAAAGCAGCAGGCACAGAUCAGGGAUACACCGGGUCACGUCGUGAUCAGCUCUGUCUCUCUUUCUCGACGAUGAAUUUGGGUGAGCCUGCCCGAGAAAGACAGUGAAGUUCCAAAGUUGGAGCAGCUGGGAUCCGGGCCACACCGGCCGGACAGCAUGCAGAAUAUUCAAAUGGAUUGUGAGCAGCAGGGUGUGCCAGGGUGGCCUACCCUGUCUGAAUGAGCUGACGAUGAUUAACCAUGCAUUGCAGAGUUAGUACGUACUAUACGUACUGCUGCAGAAUAUUGGUCUAGUCCUAGUAGGAUUAGAUACGGUGGCUUUGCACUUGCCCCUGUUUAGUUCACGAAAAAAAAAUUUGGUGUCACUUUAGACGUUUUGACUGAAUAUCGAAAUAGAUUAUAUUUGAUUGAACGUCGGAAUAGAUUUUCGCGCAUGAAUAAAAACAAACAAAUUUCAUAGUUCAUCUGAAAACCGCAAGACGAAUCUUUUUAGCCUAAUUAAUCCGUCAUUAACAUAUAUGUGUUACCAUAGUACUUAUUGUUAAUUAAUCAUGGACAAAAUAAGCUUAAAAAUUCGUCUAACGAUUUUUUCCUUAACUAUGUAAUUAUUUCUUUUAUCUAUGUUUAAUGUUUUAUUUAGGUGUCUAAAAUUUAACGUGAUGUUUUUUGGAAAAAGAUUGGGAACUAAACGGGCCCUGAGUUGUGCUUGGAAGCAUGGCUUAAUGAUUAGGGGCAUGAGACAUAGGGAUGGCUUCGGCUAUUAGUCAAUUGCUUGGUGUUUUUUUCCCAGAUUGUUAUUCUUUUCUUCCGAUUUAGAUAGAUUUGAGUAUGCGUUAUCCACUUAAUUGACCUAUAAACGGGUUGACGGACAAACCCACUUACACCCCUAGCUUUGAGAUUCAUGCAAAUCUAUACUCCCUCCGUACUCGAAUUUCUGGUCGUUCUAGGAGGAGAACAUAUUACCGUUUUUCUGUUCGUUCUGAGAGAAGUAGCCAUUUUGAGCCCAUUUUACCCCUGCAAAACACACAGUCCCAAUGCAAUUAAUACUUGACGUCGCUUUGUUUCACGAGCUGCUGCAGCCAUGCACGAAGCGUCAGGUUGAUAACCAGCCACCCAUGCACAACACCAGAGAAUAGCUCUCCAUAGCUAGGUCGCUGCUUUCUGGAGCAUGCAGCUCGCAGCGCCUUGAAGCUCGUCGCCGGCGAAGCUCAUCGCCAUGGAUGCUGCCAUCUCGCCGCGCAUGGAGGCCAAGCCAAAGGACGUUAGCAAGAGAAGCUCGUUGCCAUGGACGCCGCGCCGGAGAAGCUCGUCGCCAUCUCGCCGCGCAUGGAGGCCAAGCCAAAGGACGUUAGCUAGAGAAACUCGUCGCCAUGGACGUCGCGCUAGAGAAACUCGUCGCCAUCUCGCCGCGCAUGGAGGCCAAGACAAAGGAUGUCGCGCUGGAGAAGAUCAUGCAAAAAUACAAAAGAAAUGUAAAAAAAUACAAGACCUCGUGUUUAAGUGCUUCCUGCGCUAGCCAAUACACUGGAAAGAUAAUUCUAAUAAGAACAGACUCCAAACCAUAUUUUAUAGGGGCAUACAUGGAAAAAUAGAGCUGUACUAAUGACUUCUUGGUAUGCUAAAUCAUGUCCAAAACGACCAGAAAUUCGAGUACGGAGGGAAUAUGUACUAAAGACAUCUCCCUCCUCCAGAUCCCCAGUCUCACCCACAAACAUUUAUCCAGCAAAUUAAUGUAUUAAUUCCUCCUUUGCUCUUUUUUUAAGUCGUUAACUUUAGAACUACAUUUAACAUUUUAUCUUAUUCAAAUAUUUGUAUAAUUCUUAAUUAUUUUGUUAUAAUUUAAAUUAUUUCUAAAGUAAAUUUAUCAUAUCUGCAAAAAAAAUUAAAUAAAACGAACAUAGAUAAAAAAAUCAAUAACAUUCGAUAAAAAAAACAUACGGAGUAUAUUAUUCUCGCUGAAACCAAAUAAAUGGAUCAUAUAAGCGUUGUUCCAGUAAAAGAUACUAGCAACAAACGACUUGCCGGCUUUGCUGCCAUGUAGAUUGGCGCUCUCUCUCUCUGAGAAACCGGGAAAGCGACCAUGUGAUGGAUGCCGCUGGCGAGCGGACAACGCCGGAUUCUGGCGACCCCACCAUCGCGCGCGCUACGCCGGCCGCUUUGAGUUUCCCCCGGCCGGACGGACGGACGCACCGUCGCCAUCCCCGGCCCCCUCUUAAUUUGCUUUCUUUCUCGACCAGCCUAAACCUCUGCAUAUCUGCAGAGAUCGAUGGACGGACGCAUCGCUAUCAUCCAUGCAUGGUCCGAGCUAGCUAGCUACCCCUAUAGCUGAGCUGCUUGGUUUGCCUUUUGGUCCUCCUCGUCGUCAUGUAUUGGUAGGAGGAGCUGCUGGAUGCGAUCGAUCGAUCACCACCGGUCGGGGCGGCCGGCCGGCCUUUUCUGGCUUUUGAGAGAGAGUAUAUAGUGG